CCUACGGGUGGCAGCAGUGAGGAAUAUUGGUCAAUGGACGAGAGUCUGAACCAGCCAAGUAGCGUGAAGGAUGACUGCCCUAUGGGUUGUAAACUUCUUUUAUAUGGGAAUAAAACGUUCCACGUGUGGGAUUUUGUAUGUACCUUAUGAAUAAGGAUCGGCUAACUCCGUGCCAGCAGCCGCGGUAAUACGGAGGAUCCGAGCGUUAUCCGGAUUUAUUGGGUUUAAAGGGAGCGUAGGUGGGUUGUUAAGUCAGUUGUGAAAGUUGGCGGCUCAACCGUAGAAUUGCAGUUGAAACUGGCAGUCUUGAGUACAGUAGAGGUAGGCGGAAUGCGUGGUGUAGCGGUGAAAUGCUUAGAUAUCACGAAGAACUCCGAUUGCGAAGGCAGUUCACUGGACUGCAACUGACACUGAGGCUCGAAAGUGUGGGUAUCAAACAGGAUUAGAUACCCUUGUAGUC
RNAcentral lists this ribosomal RNA (460 nucleotides) under uncultured bacterium. RNAcentral describes it as "partial 16S ribosomal RNA". It matches the Rfam family "Bacterial small subunit ribosomal RNA", at positions 338 to 795 of the family's 1533-position model. The record is from RNAcentral.